GCGGAGAGAGAAAUCAGUUCUUUUCCUGGUCGCGCCAGUUAAGUCAGGGACCAACGUGGGUCACAUGCCCAUCUUUGAGCCAAUUGCUGUAAACCUGCGGAGCGGAUGGGCCUAGGUCACGUGGGGGGCUGCUGGCCCGGGGGACAGGGCAGCAGGGAUUAACCAGAAACUCCCGGGGCUGCUCCCCGAGCAGGGCAGGCGCCUGGGAGCACGAGGGACCGCCGCCCCCGACAACCCCACAUGCACUUGGACAGUUUUACUUCCUGAAUGUUUAUCCAACGCAUUUCAUACGUUUCCCAAAGAACUCUCUACAGUUAAGGACGUUAACUUUGUCGCAUGUAUUUCAGACAUUUUUUUCCAGUUUGCUGUUCACAGAGAUUGUUUUACACAGAGUAGCUGCGAGUCUGUGUGAAGUCAAAUCAACACACUUCUCCUUGAGGGCUUCCGGGUGAGGCUUGGACAUGCAUCCCCCGCAGGAGGCCUCGUCUUUGCCAUCAUUUCCUCUCAGCGCUCGUACAGACGCCGACUCCAGCGAGGUUCCUGUGUCCCCCGUUCUUCCCCGUGGACUGGAAGUGCCGUUAUCAUCAUACGCUGAAUUGUAUGAUGUUUGGCCUCCAAUUCUUUUCCUGUGAUCUUUUCUGUAC
This is a long non-coding RNA of Myotis daubentonii (Daubenton's bat), 644 nucleotides long. RefSeq lists it as uncharacterized. NCBI's taxonomy places the organism in Eukaryota, Metazoa, Chordata, Mammalia, Chiroptera, Vespertilionidae. The record is from RefSeq and is a predicted model, not a curated record. The transcript has 2 exons.